UACGUAGGGACCAAGCGUUGUUCGGAUUUACUGGGCGUAAAGCGCGCGUAGGCGGCCCGGUAAGUCCGCUGUAAAAGUCAAAGGCUCAACCUUUGAAUGUCAGUGGAUACUGCCGGGCUAGAGUCCGGAAGAGGCGAGUGGAAUUCCUGGUGUAGCGGUGGAAUGCGCAGAUAUCAGGAGGAACACCAACGGCGAAGGCAGCUCGCUAGGACGGUACUGACGCUAAGGCGCGAAAGCGUGGGGAGCGAACAGG
This 253-nucleotide ribosomal RNA is filed under the name uncultured bacterium. Its description in RNAcentral is "partial 16S ribosomal RNA". It matches the Rfam family "Bacterial small subunit ribosomal RNA", at positions 524 to 776 of the family's 1533-position model. The record is from RNAcentral.